UACAGAGGUCUCAAGCGUUGUUCGGAUUCAUUGGGCGUAAAGGGUGCGUAGGUGGCGGGGUAAGUCUGGUGUGAAAUCUCGGGGCUCAACCCCGAAACUGCACUGGAUACUGCCUUGCUCGAGUACUGGAGAGGAGAUUGGAAUUUACGGUGUAGCAGUGAAAUGCGUAGAUAUCGUAAGGAAGACCAGUGGCGAAGGCGAGUCCCUGGACAACACCUGACACUAAAGCGCGACAGCAUGGGGAGCAAACGGG
This 253-nucleotide ribosomal RNA is filed under the name uncultured bacterium. RNAcentral describes it as "partial 16S ribosomal RNA". It matches the Rfam family "Bacterial small subunit ribosomal RNA", at positions 524 to 776 of the family's 1533-position model. The record is from RNAcentral.